AGCAUGUGGUUUAAUUCGAUGAUACGCGAGGAACCUUACCAAGGCUUAAAUGCAUAAUGACGUAUUUGGAAACAGAUAUUUCUUCGGACAGAAUGCAAGGUGCUGCAUGGCUGUCGUCAGCUCGUGCCGUGAGGUGUUAGGUUAAGUCCUGCAACGAGCGCAACCCCUAUCAUUAGUUGCCAGCGCUUAAAGACGGGGACUCUAAUGAGACUGCCAACGCAAGUUGAGAGGAAGUGGGGACGACGUCAAGUCAUCACGGCCCUUACGUCUUGGGCUACACACGUGCUACAAUGGUAAGUACAGAGGGCAGCUACCUGGCGACAGGAUGCGAAUCUCGAAAACUUAUCUCAGUUCGGAUUGGAGUCUGCAACUCGACUCUAUGAAGCUGGAAUCGCUAGUAAUCGCGGAUCAGCACGCCGCGGUGAAUACGUUCCCGGGCCUU
This 442-nucleotide ribosomal RNA is filed under the name uncultured Flavobacteriaceae bacterium. Its description in RNAcentral is "bacterial SSU rRNA". It matches the Rfam family "Bacterial small subunit ribosomal RNA", at positions 936 to 1382 of the family's 1533-position model. Lineage: Bacteria; Pseudomonadati; Bacteroidota; Flavobacteriia; Flavobacteriales; Flavobacteriaceae. The record is from RNAcentral.